GGGAUCAACUAUUGGAAACGCAUAGCUCAAUACCGCAUCAAGCAGUGAUUCAACACAUGUUCAGUUCAUUUCAAACAGGCAGCCAAUUGGCUUCACUAGUGCAGCAUGGACCUGCUUGUCAUUCAGCUCAGUUGGUGCAGGUAAAGGCGUCACCAAGGCGACGAUACAUCAGCCGACCUGAGAGGGUGCAUCGGCCACACUGGGACUGAGACACGGCCCAGACUCCUACAGGAGGCAGCAGUAGGGAAUCUUCGGCAAUGGACGGAAGUCUGACCGAGCAACGCCGCGUGAUGAAGAAGGUUUUCGGAUCGUAAAGCUCUGUUGUUAGAGAAGAACGUUGGUAGGAGUGGAAAAUCUACCAAGUGACGGUAACUAACCAGAAAGGGACGGCUAACUACGUGCCAGCAGCCGCGGUAAUACGUAGGUCCCGAGCGUUGUCCGGAUUUAUUGGGCGUAAAGCGAGCGCAGGCGGUUCUUUAAGUCUGAAGUUAAAGGCAGUGGCUUAACCAUUGUACGCUUUGGAAACUGGAGGACUUGAGUGCAGAAGGGGAGAGUGGAAUUCCAUGUGUAGCGGUGAAAUGCGUAGAUAUAUGGAGGAACACCGGUGGCGAAAGCGGCUCUCUGGUCUGUAACUGACGCUGAGGCUCGAAAGCGUGGGGAGCAAACAGGAUUAGAUACCCUGGUAGUCCACGCCGUAAACGAUGAGUGCUAGGUGUUAGGCCCUUUCCGGGGCUUAGUGCCGCAGCUAACGCAUUAAGCACUCCGCC
Molecule: ribosomal RNA, 767 nt
Filed under: uncultured Streptococcaceae bacterium
Lineage: Bacteria; Bacillati; Bacillota; Bacilli; Lactobacillales; Streptococcaceae
Description: bacterial SSU rRNA
Rfam family: Bacterial small subunit ribosomal RNA
Source: RNAcentral